This is a regulatory RNA element of Enterobacter cloacae, 114 nucleotides long. It matches the Rfam family "Salmonella mgtC leader RNA". NCBI's taxonomy places the organism in Bacteria, Pseudomonadati, Pseudomonadota, Gammaproteobacteria, Enterobacterales, Enterobacteriaceae. The record is from Rfam.
CAAAUUCAUACAGGAGUAAUACGUUGGACAGUCACCCUUAUUUAAUUUACAAGGCAAGCUAACGCGACGUAUUCCUGCCGCUGCUUGCCGAACUGGCGGGCAGCAAUCCCUUCU